UAAACAACCACUCAAGCAGUCACAAAAAGUGUUUCCUCAAGUUCAGCUCAACGAUUUCUUGCUAACAGCCUCUUCUACUGUGGACAUUACAAGAACUAAAGAGUCACAGAGACUGACCAGAGCGACUAAAGUAACUUUCAUCAUGGAAAAUUGUGACGUUCCCGUUCUCCUGACCGACAACCAGACAGGAAGGAGAACCUCUGCUCGCCAGGCAGAGAGCGCGUCGAGGCCCUCAGCCUGGAGACAGUGUUCAUGCUGCAGGGACAAGCAGGGGCCGACUCUAAAGAGAAAGCGCCGGCCCUCUGCUGCUCCCGGAGACCUUCACCAGAAGAGGAAGCGCACCUCCGGAGCCCGUCCCCUCCCUGACCAUCCAGAGGUGUUGGACUGUGUCCCCGCUGUGCAGCCCUCCCCAGCUGGUGACCAUUCAGGGUCUUUGGUGGAGAAGCCUAGAGCCACCAUCCCACCUGCUGACCUGCCCCGAGUCUCCUGUGUGGCCCCCAGCCUCCAGCCCUCCACUGCUCCACUGCACGACGGGCCUCUGAAGAUAUUCAACCUCCCAAUGGAAGAAUACCAGCAGCUGUACCACGAGGUUGUUGAUGAAAUGCUGAGGU
This is a long non-coding RNA of Gasterosteus aculeatus aculeatus (three-spined stickleback), 611 nucleotides long. NCBI's taxonomy places the organism in Eukaryota, Metazoa, Chordata, Actinopteri, Perciformes, Gasterosteidae. The record is from Ensembl.